CUUGCUCUCGGGUGACGAGCGGCGGACGGGUGAGUAAUGUUUGGGAAAAUGCCUGAUGGAGGGGGAUAACUACUGGAAACGGUAGCUAAUACCGCAUAACGUCGCAAGACCAAAGUGGGGGACCUUCGGGCCUCAUGCCAUCAGAUGUGCCCAGAUGGGAUUAGCUGGUAGGUGGGGUAACGGCUCACCUAGGCGACGAUCCCUAGCUGGUUUGAGAGGAUGACCAGCCACACUGGAAAUGAGACACGGUCCAGAAUCCUACGGGAGGCAGCAGUGGGGAAUAUUGCACAAAGGGCGCAAACCUGAAGCAGCCAUGCCGCGUGUGUGAAGAAGGCCUUCGGGUUGUAAAGCACUUUCAGCGGGGAGGAAGGCGGUGAGGUUAAUAACCUCACCGAUUGACGUUACCCGCCGAAGAAGCCCCGGCUUACUCCGUGCCCGCCACCGCG
RNAcentral lists this ribosomal RNA (446 nucleotides) under uncultured bacterium. Its description in RNAcentral is "bacterial SSU rRNA". It matches the Rfam family "Bacterial small subunit ribosomal RNA", at positions 75 to 519 of the family's 1533-position model. The record is from RNAcentral.